This is a long non-coding RNA of Xiphophorus hellerii (green swordtail), 153 nucleotides long. RefSeq lists it as uncharacterized. Lineage: Eukaryota; Metazoa; Chordata; Actinopteri; Cyprinodontiformes; Poeciliidae. The record is from RefSeq and is a predicted model, not a curated record. The transcript is spliced from 3 exons.
GUUGUUGGUUUGAUUUUUCCUGCGACAGACUGUCUACCUGUCCAGGGUGAACCCGCCUCUCGCCCGGAACGUCAGCCGGAGAUAGGCAGCAGCACCCCUCCAGACCCCUCUAAGAGACAAGGGUGUACAGAAAAUGGAUGGAUGGAUGGAUGG